AAGCUUUCAACAACGGAUCUCUUGGUUCCGGCAUCCAUAAAGAACGCAGCGAAAUGCGAUAAGUAAUGCGAAUUGCAGAAUUCAGUGAAUUAUCGAGUCUUUGAACGCAUAUUACGCCCCCUAGUAUUCCGGGGGACAUACCUAUCCGAGCGUUAUU
This 157-nucleotide ribosomal RNA is filed under the name Penicillium sp. RSPG_99. RNAcentral describes it as "5.8S ribosomal RNA". It matches the Rfam family "5.8S ribosomal RNA". Rfam says of the family: 5.8S ribosomal RNA (5.8S rRNA) is a component of the large subunit of the eukaryotic ribosome. The record is from RNAcentral. Lineage: Eukaryota; Fungi; Ascomycota; Eurotiomycetes; Eurotiales; Aspergillaceae.